This 239-nucleotide long non-coding RNA is filed under the name Nicotiana benthamiana. Its description in RNAcentral is "long non-coding RNA (NBEN_LNC011093)". The record is from RNAcentral. Lineage: Eukaryota; Viridiplantae; Streptophyta; Magnoliopsida; Solanales; Solanaceae.
UUGACCAAGAGGGGUGCCUAAUGCCUUUCCCUCAAGGUUACUUCAAUUGUUUACCCUAAUCUCUGGUAACGCAAACCAACCCAAGAGUUAAUCGCUCUAGGUGCCCUAACGCACCAUAAUCUGUUAGGUGGCGAAUCUUCAAAUACCCAAUUCCCAAAAGAGAAAUGAGUCAUUAUACCCCAUGAAUGUCGAAACCCAGACCUCUUCCCUCGUCAAAAAGUUGAGGGAAAAAGGGGGAG